Dunckerocampus dactyliophorus (ringed pipefish) is the source of this 3195-nucleotide long non-coding RNA. RefSeq lists it as uncharacterized. NCBI's taxonomy places the organism in Eukaryota, Metazoa, Chordata, Actinopteri, Syngnathiformes, Syngnathidae. The record is from RefSeq and is a predicted model, not a curated record. The transcript is spliced from 4 exons.
CCUGUCCAAUAGCGGAAGCGCUGUCGCCCAAGCUCAUUAUUUAGCGGUUAUGUUCGUGAUAGUGUCGUAUGAAUCAAGUGACGGCAACUCACAGAUGAAAUAAACUCGGACCCCGCUCCCUUGGGGACUGCCGGAAACACCCCCAAGUGCCCAGGUCAGUCCAAGGGAAGCACCACAAACUGGCGUGAGCCCCGGCAUCAACCGGCUCCAACUAGACCCCCCGGGAAGGGCAGGCGAGCCAGACAAAAACGCCCCACAAGCCAGGCCACCACGAGUGAGCCACCGCAUCUGCAUCUGUCUGUGUGCAUUGGUUUUCUAGUGAAAUGAACAGAGAGAGUGGGCCCUCAUCUCAUUUAGCCUCUUUGUGGAGGCGGGGCUACUAGGGUUUAGCAGUGAGCUUUGUGAGGCAGCAUACGCUAACAUGAAGAAGGCACGGAAGCAAUGGGUUUUGAGGGGAAUGCCACAAACAUUUCAGUUUUAAACAGAAUGAACACGGUGACCGCAUGAACACCGACGACCGACACGGACAGUUUUCUCAACUGGGAAAAAAAAAAUGCCGACGUAGGUGCCUCGGGCAGCAGAGCCUUCGUCCCGACAGUCAACGCUUACUGAGGCAUUUGGUCAGCGAAUAUAACCAAAACAGUGCAAAAUGGUGCACUCUCAUAAACAGUGUCGCUGUCUACAUUGCAAAAACAUACAUACAGGCAACUUCUGUGUCACGCUGUCUCGCACAGGUACACCGUAUACUAUACAUGAUUACCAUCUAGUGGUUCAAAUGUGCAGUACACCUCUCAUGACAAUUAACGGAAAAAUGGUCAGAAAAAAUUGUAUCGAUAAAAUCGAUUAUCGACGAUAAUUUGCAGCACAACUAUCGACCAGCAAAAUUUGUUAUGGUGACAGGCCUAGAGCUACCUUUGCUGAACACGCAAGUCCGGCUUUCAACUCGACACAGCUCGCUAACCCACUAAACCCGCUUCACCGUUUGCCCCCUAAGUGUUCCAGUUGAAUGUAAACAAAAAACAUCACCACCACAAGAAGAUAGUAUUUGUUUUGCUUGUAUACACAAAGUUCGUGGGGCAAGUACUAAAAUGUGUUCAAGGUUGGCAGGUCUGUAGUGUAUAAUAGAUCAAAGAAAUGUAGUCACAUGUCCAGUUUGAGUGUGCAAACCACACAACAUGAAGACGUCCAUAGACUGACCAGUGUUUGAAGCAGCUUACAGCAGGAAGGAAGCCUCUGGUCACAUCUUCUAUGCUCUCUCUGCCCCCCUUUCUCUUUCUUCCCCAUCCUUUAACCUCCCCACCACCACCACCCUCACAUCUCCCUCAAGGUUUCUCUGUAUGCCAACUCACACCUGACAUUCAAAUAUGGCCGAUGGAGAGGUGUAGCAACGUGGAGAGAGGAGAGCAGUAAAAGCCAAAGAGAGCCGUCAGCGUAGAGAAGGGUCACGAUGAAGGAGAAAUGUGUUAAUAAAAUGACAACAAAGGAUGACGACAGCGAGCCGGUGAAUAUAGGGGAUGGAGAUAAGGGGAGUUGGGUUUGGGCUUAACACUCCAGUCUAAUCUCCCACAGGGACAAAGACGUGUUAACAAGCCUUCCAGAUCCAUGAAAAGGACGACGCUUGCUCCCAAAUACUGUUUAUGUGGUGCGCUGUGGACAUUGUAGCGUGUUGAUGUAUUUUGUGUGUACUCACUGAUGAAGGAGAAAAGGUAUGCAGAAAAGACCGGCCCCCUUGAUGACCCCUGAGCUUGAGGAAGACCAAAACAUCACACUGAGCCAGGUGGGGUGAGGAGUGAGGUUGCUCCAGCAUGGCAACGUUCUCCUCAGCCAGGAACUGUCGGAUGCUCAGGGCAUUGUGAGCAGGAACUCGCAGUGGACGAUGCUGCUCACAUGGAAGAAUGCGAUCAACAUUCCAGAAUGCUGCAGCUGAAUGAAUAAAAUAUGCUUGCUGGCCGCAGCAUUAGGUACACCUCUACAAUGAGAUGCAACACAAGAGACGUAUCAGACAACAGCUAGGAAGGCCAAAAAAAUCCUAAUUGGGAUCAAAUGUACUCCAUGCUCACUAUAAAUGUUGUCAUUAAAGGCCCCGAAUAUGCAAAAGUGACUUUUGAAUGAUGUUUGGACUUUGGAUUGCACUAUUUAAAGUAAAUCAUGAAUCAUGGCAAGCUAUACCAACCUCUGUUCAUCCUGAUUUUGUAUUGCAUCUUUAGCACAUUGUUUGGACUCAUUGAUAACUUAUUCUUAAGUAUGUCAGCAUUAUUAAUAAUUUAUACCUGAUUCCCUUACAAAAAACAACGGGAGUCUAGGAAACUUCACCUGCACUGUCCAGUGUCCAGGUAUUUAUUUCACAGUCACACUGGUUGGACUUUUGGCUAAAAAGUUCCAAAAUCGUUCUUGAAUCGUAUCGGCAACCACGAAUCGUGAUACAAAUCAAAUCGUGAUUAAAAGGAAUCGUUACACCCCUGGUUUCAACACGUCAAAGCUUAACAGCAGAGGUGGGAGUCUCAAGCCAAGUCUCAAGUAAAGAUGUGCAAGUCCAAGUCAUGUCUCAAGUCAAGUCCCAAGUCAUAGGCUUGAAAUGUUCCUACAAGUCAUAAGCACUGUUUUGUGUUUACCAAAAUAAAAUGCAAUUUUCACAAUGUAACAAUCUUUUACAUUUGACAAACACAGUGAAUGCAUUUUGGAUUGUUUUGUUAGUUAAAUAAAAUAAGACCAACGUGACAAGACUGAAAAAGAGUGCUGACACAGCAUUCUGCAUUUACAGUAGUUUACAAAUAUAAUCCAUACACUUGUUGUCUGUACUUAAACCUGAUUAGCACGCUUUAGAUCGUGCAUCUGUACCUAAUGAAAUGUCUGGGGGGGGGGGGAAUCCAUCUUUUUUUGGUCCACAAAUUAGAUUUAGUCAAAUUGUUUGCCGAUUGUGUUUAAUGACCACAAAACACAGCAGCACGCCCUUAAUGUGAGUGAUACCUCCGCAAAUGUCAACACGCAAUAUUCCAUCUUGCACUGACCCCAAACUCUGUCUCCAGCGGCGUGUGAGUCAAUGCUGUUGUGCGUAGUUAAAGACUAAUUGUGUUCUGUGUCGCCCUCUGAGAGGAGACAAGAGGGGGAGGUAAACGAAAACACCGAAAGUGAUCAUUAUGAGUGACUGCUGGCUCUUCUGGUGCUGCUAACAAAGCACAAAUCCAUGUCUGUUAG